Paramisgurnus dabryanus is the source of this 687-nucleotide long non-coding RNA. RefSeq lists it as uncharacterized. The record is from RefSeq and is a predicted model, not a curated record. Lineage: Eukaryota; Metazoa; Chordata; Actinopteri; Cypriniformes; Cobitidae.
UAACACCACAGGAUGUAGUUAGUACUCCAGCGGUUACCUAGCAACAGACAGCACGCUGCAGAAAAACGGAUAUGGACAUCACUGCUGAUGAGAUCCCUCUAUAUUUAAAUGUAUUCAAUCUAUAAGACUGAUGAAUAAGAAGAGAUGCAUGCAGAUGGCUUCCUGUCUGGUAACUGGUUCCUGUUAACCUUACAGCAGGUUUUCUGGUAUCGGCUUGAAGAGAAUUACCGCCAGACGUCAUGUCAAUCACACAAACCUCCUUGAGUGGAUGAUGCGGGGGGGGGGCAUCCUGUCAUCAUCAGUGUGAUGUAAUGCUUUGACUCGUGAGAUAUGUGGACCGCUUGAUUUAUUUAACAACCGUGUAUGUGUGUGUGUGUGUGGAGUAACUGAGCAGCAGAUGUGAUUAUAUAUAUGUGUAUAUAUACGCUAUUAUGUUCUUUAUAACGUCACAUCAUGUUUGCGUAUGCAGUGUGCUGCUAAAAUGUAUUUUCAAUAGACUUUAUUUUUUAAUUAUUAGACACUGAACUAUAUCCAAAUCUACCUAAAUUUAAGAUAUAAUAUGAACUACAUUCAAUGCUGUUAAAUGUUUUUGUGUGAGUCACUACUGGUGGUUUGUGAGGAAAUAUUGCUUCAUAUUGUGAACAAAAUAAAUCAGCAUGUAUUAUAUCUGUUUGCUGUUGUGCCACA